GACGAACGCUGGCGGCGUGCCUAACACAUGCAAGUCGAGCGAGGAGAGUUCCUUCGGGAACAAACCUAGCGGCGGACGGGUGAGUAACACGUGGGCAACCUGCCUUGUAGAGGGAAUAGCCUUCCGAAAAGGAAGAUUAAUACCGCAUAACAUUACAGUUUCGCAUGAAACAGUAAUUAAAGGAGUAAUCCGCUACAAGAUGGGCCCGCGGCGCAUUAGCUAGUUGGUGAGGUAACGGCUCACCAAGGCGACGAUGUGUAGCCGACCUGAGAGGGUGAUCGGCCACAUUGGGACUGAGACACGGCCCAGACUCCUACGGGAGGCAGCAGUGGGGAAUAUUGCACAAUGGGGGAAACCCUGAUGCAGCAACGCCGCGUGAGUGAUGAAGGUUUUCGGAUCGUAAAGCUCUGUCUUCGGGGACGAUAAUGACGGUACCCGAGGAGGAAGCCACGGCUAACUACGUG
RNAcentral lists this ribosomal RNA (464 nucleotides) under uncultured bacterium. RNAcentral's name for it is "bacterial SSU rRNA". It matches the Rfam family "Bacterial small subunit ribosomal RNA", at positions 28 to 507 of the family's 1533-position model. The record is from RNAcentral.